UUCACUGAUGGAUGCACACACCAAGCACCCAUGUCAUGGGAAGGGCGUGGAUGAGCUCCUGACAUGAGAUAUCUCCUUCAGUGCAGCUCUAAGAGGAAAGGGCCUAAGGAUGGAAACAGCCUGAAUAUGUAUUAAGAUGAUGCACACCAAAGCAAGAUGAAUGCUGCCUUUCAAACCUGGAGAUCUUCAUCUAUGAAAUGUUUUGAGAAUUAAUGUGUAAUCUUUUCAUCUGAAUAUCAUGUGCCAUAUUGAACAUCUGGUUUAUGUAGUUUUACCAUAACAUGCCCACAAGACCUCAGAAAAAUUUUAGAAGAUCCCUGUUGCCUUUGCAAAUA
This is a long non-coding RNA of Cyanistes caeruleus (blue tit), 335 nucleotides long. RefSeq lists it as uncharacterized. The record is from RefSeq and is a predicted model, not a curated record. Lineage: Eukaryota; Metazoa; Chordata; Aves; Passeriformes; Paridae.